CCUACGGGUGGCAUGGGGACGUUCGCGCCUUCGGGGAAAUACACGAAAGAGAUACAGUUAGAGGUCGAGCGGGAGAUCAUUCUUCCCUCGAUGCAUGCGCUAAACAGCGAAGGCCGCCCCUUUAAGGGCAUUAUAUUCUUCGGGCUGAUGCUUACCAAGGACGGGCCAAAACUGCUUGAGUACAACGCGCGCUUCGGAGACCCCGAGGCACAGAGCGUAUUGUUUUUAUUGAAAACAGAUCUGCUUUCCGUGCUGGAGGCUGUGGCGGAUGAGCGGCUUUCGGAGAUCGAGCUGGAAUGGGAAGAAGAUGCAUCCGCCGUCUGCGUCGUUAUGGCUUCGGGCAGAUACCCCAGUAGUC
Molecule: ribosomal RNA, 358 nt
Filed under: uncultured prokaryote
Description: partial 16S ribosomal RNA
Source: RNAcentral